AUUGAACGCUGGCGGCAGGCUUAACACAUGCAAGUCGAGCGGGGGAAGGUAGCUUGCUACCGGACCUAGCGGCGGACGGGUGAGUAAUGCUUAGGAAUCUGCCUAUUAGUAGGGGACAACAUCUCGAAAGGGAUGCUAAUACCGCAUACGUCCUACGGGAGAAAGCAGGGGAUCUUCGGACCUUGCGCUAAUAGAUGAGCCUAAGUCGGAUUAGCUAGUUGGUGGGGUAAAGGCCUACCAAGGCGACGAUCUGUAGCGGGUCUGAGAGGAUGAACCGCCACACUGGGACUGAGACACGGCCCAGACUCCUACGGGAGGCAGCAGUGGGGAAUAUUGGACAAUGGGGGGAACCCUGAUCCAGCCAUGCCGCGUGUGUGAAGAAGGCCUUAUGGUUGUAAAGCACUUUAAGCGAGGAGGAGGCUACUUUAGUUAAUACCUAGAGAUAGUGGACGUUACUCGCAGAAUAAGCACCGGCUAACUCUGUGCCAGCCGCCGCCGUAA
This 501-nucleotide ribosomal RNA is filed under the name uncultured bacterium. Its description in RNAcentral is "partial 16S ribosomal RNA". It matches the Rfam family "Bacterial small subunit ribosomal RNA", at positions 30 to 523 of the family's 1533-position model. The record is from RNAcentral.